RNAcentral lists this ribosomal RNA (424 nucleotides) under uncultured bacterium. RNAcentral describes it as "partial 16S ribosomal RNA". It matches the Rfam family "Bacterial small subunit ribosomal RNA", at positions 354 to 796 of the family's 1533-position model. The record is from RNAcentral.
GUGGGGAAUCUUGCGCAAUGGGCGAAAGCCUGACGCAGCCAUGCCGAGUGAAUGAUGAAGGUCUUAGGAUUGUAAAAUUCUUUCACCGGGGACGAUAAUGACGGUACCCGGAGAAGAAGCUCCGGCUAACUUCGUGCCAGCAGCCGCGGUAAUACGAAGGGGGCUAGCGUUGCUCGGAAUUACUGGGCGUAAAGGGCGCGUAGGCGGACAGCUUAGUCAGAGGUGAAAGCCCAGGGCUCAACCUUGGAAUUGCCUUUGAUACUGGCUGUCUUGAGUUUGGGAGAGGUGAGUGGAACUCCGAGUGUAGAGGUGAAAUUCGUAGAUAUUCGGAAGAACACCAGUGGCGAAGGCGACUCACGGCCCAAUACUGACGCUGAGGCGCGAAAGCGUGGGGAGCAAACAGGAUUAGAUACCCCUGUAGUCC